CCUACGGGAGGCAGCAGUGGGGAAUAUUGCACAAUGGGGGAAACCCUGAUGCAGCGACGCCGCGUGAGUGAAGAAGUAAUUCGGUAUGUAAAGCUCUAUCAGCAGGGAAGAAAAUGACGGUACCUGAGUAAGAAGCCCCGGCUAACUACGUGCCAGCAGCCGCGGUAAUACGUAGGGGGCAAGCGUUAUCCGGAUUUACUGGGUGUAAAGGGAGCGUAGACGGCAGUGCAAGUCUGGAGUGAAAGCCCGGGGCGUAACCCUGGGACUGCUUUGGAAACUGUACGGCUAGAGUGCAGGAGAGGUAAGUGGAAUUCCUAGUGUAGCGGUGAAAUGCGUAGAUAUUAGGAGGAACACCAGUGGCGAAGGCGGCUUACUGGACUGUAACUGACGUUGAGGCUCGAAAGCGUGGGGAGCAAACAGGAUUAGAUACCCGAGUAGUC
This 440-nucleotide ribosomal RNA is filed under the name uncultured bacterium. RNAcentral describes it as "partial 16S ribosomal RNA". It matches the Rfam family "Bacterial small subunit ribosomal RNA", at positions 338 to 795 of the family's 1533-position model. The record is from RNAcentral.